AACUUUUGGCAAUGGAUCUCUUGGCUCUCGCAUCGAUGAAGAACGCAGCGAGAUGCGGUAAGUAAUGUGAAUUGCAGAAUUCAGUGACUCAUCGAAUCUUUGAACGCACCUUGCGCUCCUUGGUAUUCCGAGGGGCAUGCCUGAUUGAGGGUCAUUAAUAUAUCAACCUCUUUAAAUUUUGAGAGUGUUUGGAUGUGGGGGUGUUAUUUUGCUGGCCUUCUCCAAGGUCAGCUCCCCUGAAAUGUAUUAGCGGAACAAUUUGUUGACCGUUCAUUGGUGUGAUAGCAUAUCUACGCUAUUGACGUGAAGCAAGUUCAGCUUAUAACAGUCCAUUGACUUGGACAAUUCUCUAUUUAUUAAUGUGACCUCAAAUCAGGUAGGACUACCCGCUGAACUUAAGCAUAUCAAUAAGCGGAGGCU
This 420-nucleotide unclassified non-coding RNA is filed under the name uncultured Cortinarius. RNAcentral's name for it is "sequence contains ITS2". The stretch from base 1 to 154 matches the Rfam family "5.8S ribosomal RNA". Lineage: Eukaryota; Fungi; Basidiomycota; Agaricomycetes; Agaricales; Cortinariaceae. The record is from RNAcentral.